AGUAACGCGUGAGGAACCUGCCUCAAAGAGGGGGACAACAGUUGGAAACGACUGCUAAUACCGCAUAAGCCCACAGCUCGGCAUCGAGCAGAGGGAAAAGGAGUGAUCCGCUUUGAGAUGGCCUCGCGUCCGAUUAGCUAGUUGGUGAGGUAAUGGCCCACCAAGGCGACGAUCGGUAGCCGGACUGAGAGGUUGAACGGCCGCAUUGGGACUGAGACACGGCCCAG
Molecule: ribosomal RNA, 227 nt
Filed under: uncultured bacterium
Lineage: Bacteria
Description: partial 16S ribosomal RNA
Rfam family: Bacterial small subunit ribosomal RNA
Source: RNAcentral